AAGAGAUAGCUCAGCGGUUAAGAGCACUGACUGUUCUUCCAGAAGACCUGGGUUCAAUUCCCAGCACUCUUG
Cricetulus griseus (Chinese hamster) is the source of this 72-nucleotide non-coding RNA. The record is from Rfam. Lineage: Eukaryota; Metazoa; Chordata; Mammalia; Rodentia; Cricetidae.